CAUGCCGUAAACGUUGGGUGCUAGACGUGGGGGCCUUUCCACGGUUUCCGUGUCGUAGCUAACGCAUUAAGCACUCCGCCUGGGGAGUACGACCGCAAGGUUGAAACUCAAAGGAAUUGACGGGGGCCCGCACAAGCGGUGGAGCAUGUGGUUUAAUUCGAAGCAACGCGAAGAACCUUACCAGGUCUUGACAUCCCGAUGACCGCUCUAGAGAUAGAGUUUUCCCUUCGGGGACAUUGGUGACAGGUGG
Molecule: ribosomal RNA, 250 nt
Filed under: uncultured bacterium
Lineage: Bacteria
Description: partial 16S ribosomal RNA
Rfam family: Bacterial small subunit ribosomal RNA
Source: RNAcentral